RNA transcript from Antechinus flavipes (yellow-footed antechinus), 1013 nucleotides. It is a transcript of the gene named ADP ribosylation factor like GTPase 9, with no coding region annotated. The transcript has 5 exons. The record is from RefSeq and is a predicted model, not a curated record. NCBI's taxonomy places the organism in Eukaryota, Metazoa, Chordata, Mammalia, Dasyuromorphia, Dasyuridae.
GGGGCCUGCGCCUAUGGCCGGCCGCGGGGGGAGGCUGCUGGGGCUGGCGGCCGCGGCGGCGGCGAUGACAGCGGGGCUGAUCUAUGCCGUGUGGAGCUACGUGUCCUCCCCGCGGCCCGCGGCCCGCUCAGAGGCGCCCCAACCACAUCUGGGGGAGCCUCGGGCUGCUUCUCCUCCGCCAAUGGGGAGGAAAGAGAAGAAAGACACUCUCGCGGCGGGGGGAAAGGAGGCCGAGAGCAGCAGCUCGGCUAUUCCAUCCCUCAAGCAGUCACAGGAAAGAGCACAAAAUAAACAAGUCCUAGUGCUGGGCCUGGAUGGAGCAGGAAAGACCAGUGUCCUCCAUACCUUAGCAACAAAUAAAGUCCAGCAUAGCAUUGCUCCCACCCAGGGCUUCAAUGCAGUGUGCAUCAACAAUGGAGAUAUGCAGAUGGAGUUCCUGGAGAUUGGUGGCAGUGAGCCUUUCCGUUCUUAUUGGAAGAUGUACCUCUCCAAGGUAUUGGUGUUGAUUUUCGUGGUAGACUCGGCAGAUCACAGACGAUUACCUGAUGCCAAAGAGCAUCUUCAUCAAUUGAUCCAAAAAGAUCCAGCCCUUCCUCUAGUGGUUUUUGCAAACAAACAGGAUCUUGAAGAUGCAUAUUGUAUCACAGAUAUUCAUGAAGCUUUGGGAUUAUCUGAAAUUGGAGAUGAUAGAAAGUUGUUCUUAUUUGGAACCCACGUAACCAAGAACGGCUCAGAAAUCCCUUCCAGUAUGCAGGAUGCACGAGAACUUAUUGCCCAGCUGGUUUCGGAUGCCCAGUGACCGGUACCUCAGUGUCAGUCGGCCCUUAUAACCAGAGAAUGUUGUGUUGCAAGCUUGAAGCCAAAAAGAUUUGAAAAGUGGGUUAUAACUCUAACAUGGAGAUACUGACGCAGAAUUUUUCCUUCUGUAAUUUGAGAUCUGCGGUAAAACAUGAAACCCAAAGAUAAUGAAACUAGCUAAAUCCUCUCAACUUAAAUUAUAUCCUUCUUCUGCA